GAAGAGAGAGGGAAUUGGAGUUUUUUCUUCACCAUCUACUUCCUCUUCUUCUUCCUUUGCUAGGGCACAACAACAACAUUGCAGCAUCCCAAAUUUCGUGAUCCUUCCACUUCUCUUUCAGAACCUCUCUCCUUUGUCGAUUCAAGCUCUCCCUCGCUGGUUUUUCUCUCCAAAAAUUGUUAGCAACAAUGGAGGAACGGAUGUUUUGGUUGGUUUCGUUACUCUUUUCUCUCUCUUUUUAGUUUUUUUGUGUGGAGAGGAGAAGACAACGCCCUUUUCUCUCUUUCUCUCUCUGUCUCUCUCUAAAAAACCCACUUACACAAUCCUCCAUCAAUCCUAUAUACAUAAACUUUUCGUUUUCUUUCUCUGUUUUUCCCCUUUUUGGUUUUGUGUUUUUUUUAAGGAAAUUGGAUGGUGGGUUUUUGAUUUGAUCCAAAUUGCUGCUCUCCAACUGCUCUAUUGUGUUGGAAAUGGGGAUUGGGUAGUGGGUUUUGAUGGGAUGAGUCCUUCGCAGGCGAUGGGACGGUGAUUUUAGGACCAUGUUCCUCUACGAUGGAGUACGAUUCUGGAAUACAUAUGUCUAUGACGGAGGGACACUCCUCUUCCCUUGCACCAUCCUUGUGCGAAGGUUCUCUUGCUAAUUUCGGAGAAAAUCAGGAACCAACUUGGAAGGUUGGAGACUGACCUUAUUACUUUAAAUGAAAAAUAAAGUGCUGCAAUCUCUCAAAUUGAGAAAUACUAUGAAGGCAAGACGAGAAACUGAUCGAAGACUGGAUACUCAAUAUCAACGUGAGAUUGCUGAAGGCCUUGAUAAGUCUUGACAACUGUUCAACAUCAUAAUGAACAAAUAUCAAAAAGAGAAGAAAGAAAAAUUAGAAGUGAUGCAGCUUUUGAGGAAGCCAAAAGAAAGGAAAAGACAAUUCUAUUGGAUAAAAAACGUCAAGAAAAGCUUAAAACAGAAGUUGAGGUACUUGACAAAAACGAAGUCUUCAACUUUGUAUUUUCACGUUGCUCUUAAGCCCCCAAAGGAUUUUUGCACUUUACUGCAUCUCACACAUCUAAAAACACAUGUGCAAGCAAAAGCCAAAGCUGAGGAAGCAAUGAAAGCUGUCUACCAAAGCUGAGAGGAGAGCAGCGAAAGAAGCUGCUGAAAACUUAUAAAAAGUUGAUAUUGUACAAGUGCAAGAAACUAUGGUUAGGUCGCUAACUACCAAACCAGUAAACUCAGUUGGCCAACCUGAAGGGACUGCUCCGGAUGAAACAUUUGUGUCAAAAUCACCAGGUGACUUUCAAUAUGAAUAAUUGGACAUCAGUUGUGAUUUUGAUCCUGCCAUUUGUGUAUUACCAUAGGUUUGAACCAGAUAUGCUAGCAUUCUCAGGUUUCUAUUAUGGUGGAGGUAAAAAGGAAAGGAGAGAAUUUGGAGCUAUUCGAAGGCGAUGGAAAACAUUACAUCAAGUAAGCAACCUUGAUAAAGAAAGGAGGCAUGGAAAAUGUCCACCGACUCCAGAAGAGGUCCUCUGAUGCCGCCACAUCACCAAAUUUGCUUUCUUUGGCUACUUUUAGCACUAAUUGUCGCCUACCACUGACACCCACUUUGUCAUCUUUUGGUCUUAGGCUCUUGAAAUCUUCAACUAGAUCAUCUAAGAUGCUCAGCUUCAUAUAGUUCUAAAUUAAGAAGAUCAUUAGUGCUUACCUUUUGUGGUCACACACGGCUUAUAAAUGCUACAAUUAUUAGACAAUCAGUGAGGUUUUGCAAGAAUCCAUUGAAGCAGUGAAACCAUAUUUGCUGCAAUUGAUUGAUUUAUAGGCCUUUUUGUAGGUUUGGUAGCCAAAUUUUGGUUCAAAUGUACUUAUUUAAAUAGCUUGUCCGUACCAAAACAUAUAUGUUAAUUGCUUCAUUGUACAAACAUUGUACGAACAAUUGUACGAACAAUUGUACAUAUAUUAAAGUAUAUAUAUUAAAUUGUUAAUCAUUUUUGUCCA
Cucumis melo (muskmelon) is the source of this 1984-nucleotide long non-coding RNA. RefSeq lists it as uncharacterized. The record is from RefSeq and is a predicted model, not a curated record. Lineage: Eukaryota; Viridiplantae; Streptophyta; Magnoliopsida; Cucurbitales; Cucurbitaceae. The transcript has 8 exons.